GGAGGGAUCAUUACCGAGUUAUUCAACUCAUCAACCCUGUGAACAUACCUAAACGUUGCUUCGGCGGGAAUAGACGGCCCCGUAAGACGGGCCGCCCCCGCCAGAGGACCCUUAACUCUGUUUCUAUAAUGUUUCUUCUGAGUAAAACAAGCAAAUAAAUUAAAACUUUCAACAACGGAUCUCUUGGCUCUGGCAUCGAUGAAGAACGCAGCGAAAUGCGAUAAGUAAUGUGAAUUGCAGAAUUCAGUGAAUCAUCGAAUCUUUGAACGCACAUUGCGCCCGCCAGUAUUCUGGCGGGCAUGCCUGUUCGAGCGUCAUUACAACCCUCAGGCCCCCGGGCCUGGCGUUGGGGAUCGGCGGAGCCCCCCGUGGGCACACGCCGUCCCCCAAAUACAGUGGCGGUCCCGCCGCAGCUUCCAUCGCGUAGUAGCUAACACCUCGCGACUGGAGAGCGGCGCGGCCACGCCGUAAAACACCCAACUCUUCUGAAGUUGACCUCGAAUCAGGUAGGAAUACCCGCUGAACUUAAGCAUA
This 534-nucleotide unclassified non-coding RNA is filed under the name Fusarium solani. RNAcentral describes it as "sequence contains ITS1, 5.8S rRNA gene, ITS2". The stretch from base 164 to 317 matches the Rfam family "5.8S ribosomal RNA". The record is from RNAcentral. Lineage: Eukaryota; Fungi; Ascomycota; Sordariomycetes; Hypocreales; Nectriaceae.